RNAcentral lists this ribosomal RNA (506 nucleotides) under uncultured bacterium. Its description in RNAcentral is "partial 16S ribosomal RNA". It matches the Rfam family "Bacterial small subunit ribosomal RNA", at positions 28 to 523 of the family's 1533-position model. The record is from RNAcentral.
GAUGAACGCUAGCUACAGGCUUAACACAUGCAAGUCGAGGGGUAACGAGAGGAAAGCUUGCUUUCCUUGUCGACGACCGGCGCACGGGUGAGUAACGCGUAUCCAACCUGCCCCCAACUAGGGAAUAACCUUGCGAAAGUAAGACUAAUACCCUAUAAUUUCCUCAGAUGUCAUCUGACGAGGAAUAAAGAUUUAUCGGUUGUGGAUGGGGAUGCGUCUGAUUAGCUUGUUGGCGGGGUAACGGCCCACCAAGGCAACGAUCAGUAGGGGUUCUGAGAGGAAGGUCCCCCACCUUGGAACUGAGACACGGUCCAAACUCAUACGGGAGGCAGCAGUGAGGAAUAUUGGCCAAUGGGCGGAAGCCUGAACCAGCCAAGUAGUGUGCAGGAUGACGGCCCUAUGGGUUGUAAACUGCUUUUAUACAGGAAUAAAGUUAGCCACGUGUGGUUAUUUGUAGGUACUGUAUGAAUAAGGACCGGCUAAUUCCGUGCCAGCCGCCGCAGUAA